This is a long non-coding RNA of Eriocheir sinensis (Chinese mitten crab), 505 nucleotides long. RefSeq lists it as uncharacterized. NCBI's taxonomy places the organism in Eukaryota, Metazoa, Arthropoda, Malacostraca, Decapoda, Varunidae. The record is from RefSeq and is a predicted model, not a curated record. The transcript is spliced from 3 exons.
GGAUGCUGCUCUCAUCUCAAACGUUUCUAAACACACUGGGUCAUAACUAGUUUUAGCCAUUUCGUCCCCCAUGUACAUAUUUGGCAACGUUUUUGGAGGUUGUGGGCUUUUCCAAGGGUAGUUUUAUGAUGCUGGUGAUAGUUUAAAAUUUAGUCGCCCACGCACACUUAUUUGGCAAGGAUUUCGGAGUUGUGGGCUUUUCCAGGGGUAGUUUUAUGAUGCUGGUGGUAGUUUAAAAUUUAGUCGCCCAAGCACACAUAUUUGGCAAGGCUUUCAGAGUUGUGGGCUUUUCCAUGGGUAGUUUUAUGAUGCUGGUGGUAGUUUAAAAUUUAGUCGCCCAAGCACAUAUAUUUGGCAAGGAUUUCGGAGUUGUGGGCUUUUCCAGGGGUAGUUUUAUGAUGCUGGUGGUAGUUUAAAAUUUAGUCCCCCAAGCAAACAUAUUUGGCAAGGCUUUCGGAGUUGUGGGCUUUUCCAUGGGUAGUUUUAUGAUGCUGGUGGUAGUUUA